Molecule: ribosomal RNA, 253 nt
Filed under: uncultured bacterium
Lineage: Bacteria
Description: partial 16S ribosomal RNA
Rfam family: Bacterial small subunit ribosomal RNA
Source: RNAcentral
UACGAAGGGGGCUAGCGUUGCUCGGAAUUACUGGGCGUAAAGCGCACGUAGGCGGCUUCUUAAGUCGGUGGUGAAAUCCUGGAGCUCAACUCCAGAACUGCCUUCGAUACCGGGAAGCUCGAGUCCGGGAGAGGUGAGUGGAACUGCGAGUGUAGAGGUGAAAUUCGUAGAUAUUCGCAAGAACACCAGUGGCGAAGGCGGCUCACUGGCCCGGUACUGACGCUGAGGUGCGAAAGCGUGGGGAGCAAACAGG